CUCGUAGGCGGUUCGUCGCGUCCGGUGUGAAAGUCCAUCGCUUAACGGUGGAUCCGCGCCGGGUACGGGCGGUCUUGAGUGCGGUAGGGGAGACUGGAAUUCCCGGUGUAACGGUGGAAUGUGUAGAUAUCGGGAAGAACACCAAUGGCGAAGGCAGGUCUCUGGGCCGUUACUGACGCUGAGGAGCGAAAGCGUGGGGAGCGAACA
This 207-nucleotide ribosomal RNA is filed under the name uncultured bacterium. RNAcentral's name for it is "partial 16S ribosomal RNA". It matches the Rfam family "Bacterial small subunit ribosomal RNA", at positions 568 to 774 of the family's 1533-position model. The record is from RNAcentral.